GCAGAGUUACUGCCUAGCACUACUGAAUCACUGCAGUCAGCAGGACUGUGAGUAUAAUUUAUUCUUUUAUUGGUCACCACUGGUCAACGCUCGAGUUGAAGUGAACCACAAAUUCUACGUUCUGGCAGCAGUACAAUUCCCAGGUGCUCAUAAUGCUAUUUCCCACUUUGUGAGUUCUUGACUGGAGUCUUAACUGCAUCUCUUUGUUACUGUCUCCCCCUAUGAAAUAAAAGGCCUGUGAAAAACA
Long non-coding RNA from Lacerta agilis (Sand lizard), 247 nucleotides. RefSeq lists it as uncharacterized. The transcript is spliced from 2 exons. The record is from RefSeq and is a predicted model, not a curated record. NCBI's taxonomy places the organism in Eukaryota, Metazoa, Chordata, Lepidosauria, Squamata, Lacertidae.